CAUAUCAGUCAUGUGAUAUGUGUUGAAAAGUUACAGCUCUAUUCCUUUCUUGUGUUCCCUUCUUUUAGCCUCUGGAGGAAACUAUUCUGAGGAUGUUCAGUCAUUUUACCAGCCUAAUAAUGGUAAGUGAACCACUUCACAUAACUAAAAAACUAUCAGGUCGGACAGAUUUUAAAUGUGCUUUGUCUGAGUUAUAGCAAUCAUAGUUUAUGUUUUGUGUUCUCUCAUUUUAGACUUUUGUGGAAACUUCUUGGCAGAGCUAGAGUCAACAGAUCUCUGUAAUGAUGACUUUCCUGGCAAUCACCAUCAACACCCCCAGGGCUAUACAGACAUUGCUGCCAACCAAAACACCAAGAUGCUAACGGAGCUACUCAUGGAGGUGAAGCAAAUGUCACG
Molecule: long non-coding RNA, 396 nt
Organism: Gadus chalcogrammus (walleye pollock)
Lineage: Eukaryota; Metazoa; Chordata; Actinopteri; Gadiformes; Gadidae
Exons: 3
Source: RefSeq, a predicted model, not a curated record